UNUGACUUGAGUGCAGAAGGGGAGAGUGGAAUUCCAUGUGUAGCGGUGAAAUGCGUAGAUAUAUGGAGGAACACCAGUGGCGAAAGCGGCUCUNUGGUCUGUCACUGACGCUGAGGCUCGAAAGCGUGGGUAGCGAACAGGAUUAGAUACCCUGGUAGUNCACGCCGUAAACGAUGAGUGCUAGGUGUUAGGCCCUUUCCGGGGCUUAGUGCCGGAGCUAACGCAAUAAGCACUCCGCCUGGGGAGUACGACCGCAAGGUUGAAACUCAAAGGAAUUGACGGGGGCCCGCACAAGCGGUGGAGCAUGUGGUUUAAUUCGAAGCAACGCGAAGAACCUUACCAGGUCUUGACAUCCCGAUGCUAUUCUUAGAGAUAGGAAGUUACUUCGGUACAUCGGAGACAGGUGGUGCAUGGUUGUCGUCAGCUCGUGUCGUGAGAUGUUGGGUUAAGUCCCGCAACGAGCGCAACCCUUAUUGUUAGUUGCCAUCAUUAAGUUGGGCACUCUAGCGAGACUGCCGGUAAUAAACCGGAGGAAGGUGGGGAUGACGUCAAAUCAUCAUGCCCCUUAUGACCUGGGCUACACACGUGCUACAAUGGUCGGUACAACGAGUUGCGAGCCGGUGACGGCGAGCUAAUCUCUGAAAGCCGAUCUCAGUUCGGAUUGGAGGCUGCAACUCGCCUCCAUGAAGUCGGAAUCGCUAGUAAUCGCGGAUCAGCACGCCGCGGUGAAUACGUUCCCGGGCCUUGUACACACCGCCCGUCACACCACGAGAGUUUGUAACACCCGAAGUCGGUGAGGUAACCUUUUAGGGNCCA
Molecule: ribosomal RNA, 816 nt
Filed under: uncultured bacterium
Lineage: Bacteria
Description: bacterial SSU rRNA
Rfam family: Bacterial small subunit ribosomal RNA
Source: RNAcentral